Molecule: long non-coding RNA, 182 nt
Organism: Pipistrellus kuhlii (Kuhl's pipistrelle)
Lineage: Eukaryota; Metazoa; Chordata; Mammalia; Chiroptera; Vespertilionidae
Exons: 2
Source: RefSeq, a predicted model, not a curated record
UAUCAAUAAUAACUUUAAACAUAAAAGGACUAAAUGCUUCAGUCAAAAGACAGUGAGUGGCUGAAUGGAUAAGAAGCAAUGACCCAUAUAUAUGCUGUCUACAAGAGACCCACCUCAGAACAAAGGACUCAAAGAGACUGAAAGUGAAGGGAUGGAAAAAAUGUAUUUUAGGCUAAAAGAAA